AAGACUAUAUUUUCAGGGAUCAUUUCUGUAGUAUGUUACUUAGAGAAGUUUUUCUGAAUGUGUAGAGCACCGGUAAGAAAAAGAAAAUGA
Small nucleolar RNA from Papio anubis (olive baboon), 90 nucleotides. Its record names the gene U3. It matches the Rfam family "Small nucleolar RNA U3". Rfam says of the family: Small nucleolar RNAs (snoRNAs) are involved in the processing and modification of rRNA in the nucleolus. The record is from Ensembl. NCBI's taxonomy places the organism in Eukaryota, Metazoa, Chordata, Mammalia, Primates, Cercopithecidae.